UACGUAGGGGGCAAGCGUUGUCCGGAAUUAUUGGGCGUAAAGAGCGUGUAGGCGGCCCGAUAAGUCCGCUGUGAAAGUCCAGGGCUCAACCCUGGGAUGCCGGUGGAUACUGUCGGGCUCGAGUCCGGAAGAGGAGUGUGGAAUUCCUGGUGUAGCGGUGAAAUGCGCAGAUAUCAGGAGGAACACCAAUGGCGAAGGCGCACUCUGGGACGUGACUGACGCUGAGACGCGAAAGCGUGGGGAGCAAACAGG
This 252-nucleotide ribosomal RNA is filed under the name uncultured bacterium. RNAcentral's name for it is "partial 16S ribosomal RNA". It matches the Rfam family "Bacterial small subunit ribosomal RNA", at positions 524 to 776 of the family's 1533-position model. The record is from RNAcentral.